AUCCAGAUGAUGAAACCCAAAUAGGACGAAACGCACGUCCUGGAU
RNAcentral lists this non-coding RNA (45 nucleotides) under Schistosoma mansoni. The record is from RNAcentral. Lineage: Eukaryota; Metazoa; Platyhelminthes; Trematoda; Strigeidida; Schistosomatidae.